Molecule: small nuclear RNA, 98 nt
Filed under: Macleaya cordata
Lineage: Eukaryota; Viridiplantae; Streptophyta; Magnoliopsida; Ranunculales; Papaveraceae
Source: RNAcentral
CAUGUUGUAUUCACAUGAAGAUAAAAUUGGAACGAUACAGAAAAGAUUAGCAUGGCCCAAGGAAGACACGCACAAAUUGAGAAAUGGUCCAAAAAAAU